GAAUGGGAUGAUGAUUGUAUGUUUCCCUAUUGGUUCGAUUACCUGGAUGAUGGCAUUAUUGUAUUAGCUCUAUUUGAUCAUUC
Prosopis cineraria is the source of this 83-nucleotide small nucleolar RNA. RefSeq annotates it as small nucleolar RNA Z102/R77. Lineage: Eukaryota; Viridiplantae; Streptophyta; Magnoliopsida; Fabales; Fabaceae. The transcript has a single exon. The record is from RefSeq and is a predicted model, not a curated record.